Hibiscus syriacus is the source of this 107-nucleotide small nucleolar RNA. The record is from RefSeq and is a predicted model, not a curated record. NCBI's taxonomy places the organism in Eukaryota, Viridiplantae, Streptophyta, Magnoliopsida, Malvales, Malvaceae.
AAAUCAUGCAUCGGGCAUGUAGGCAACAAACCUUUGAAUCUUUCCCACACUUCAUAUAGAUUUUCAUCCUCCAUUUUCUUGAAAUACGUGAUGUCAUUUCUAAGCCU